AGCGGCGUGAUGAUGCCCUCGAACGGCAGCGUCAGGCCGAACACGAACAGGAGUAGCAGCCAGCGUGCCCCGGGGAUGCGCAGCAGGCCGAUGGCGAACCCGGCCAUCGUGGACAGGACGAGCGAUACCGGCACGACCGCAACGACGAUGAGCACGCUCGAGAACAGGAGUGCGCCCAUGUUGGCGACCUGGAAC
RNAcentral lists this unclassified non-coding RNA (195 nucleotides) under fungal sp. RNAcentral describes it as "partial internal transcribed spacer region". The record is from RNAcentral. Lineage: Eukaryota; Fungi.